GCAAACUUGGUCAUUUAGAGGAAGUAAAAGUCGUAACAAGGUUUCCGUAGGUGAACCUGCGGAAGGAUCAUUAAAAACAUCCGGGUUUCCCGGCCGACGAGGCCGGGGGUAAAUUCCCGUUCACUUUAUCACCCUCUGUGAAACCUCUACCGUUGCUUCGGCAGCACCGAGCGGGCAACCGCCGGGUAAGGCUGCCAGAAGCCCACAACGAAACCAGUUGAUGAAAUGUCAUGCUGUCUGAUGCUUUUGUUUAUUUGAGAAAUCGAAUCAUAUUAAAACUUUCAGCAACGGAUCUCUUGGUUCCCGCAUCGAUGAAGAACGCAGC
RNAcentral lists this unclassified non-coding RNA (325 nucleotides) under uncultured fungus. RNAcentral describes it as "partial contains small subunit ribosomal RNA, internal transcribed spacer 1, and 5.8S ribosomal RNA". The stretch from base 1 to 73 matches the Rfam family "Eukaryotic small subunit ribosomal RNA", at positions 1759 to 1831 of the family's 1831-position model. Lineage: Eukaryota; Fungi. The record is from RNAcentral.